This 470-nucleotide ribosomal RNA is filed under the name uncultured organism. Its description in RNAcentral is "partial 16S ribosomal RNA". It matches the Rfam family "Bacterial small subunit ribosomal RNA", at positions 340 to 801 of the family's 1533-position model. The record is from RNAcentral.
UACGGGAGGCAGCAGUGGGGAAUUUUGGACAAUGGGCGAAAGCCUGAUCCAGCAAUGCCGCGUGAGUGAAGAAGGCCUUCGGGUUGUAAAGCUCUUUUGUCAGGGAAGAAACGGUGAAAGCUAAUAUCUUUUGCUAAUGACGGUACCUGAAGAAUAAGCACCGGCUAACUACGUGCCAGCAGCCGCGGUAAUACGUAGGGUGCAAGCGUUAAUCGGAAUUACUGGGCGUAAAGCGUGCGCAGGCGGUUUUGUAAGUCUGAUGUGAAAUCCCCGGGCUCAACCUGGGAAUUGCAUUGGAGACUGCAAGGCUAGAAUCUGGCAGAGGGGGGUAGAAUUCCACGUGUAGCAGUGAAAUGCGUAGAUAUGUGGAGGAACACCGAUGGCGAAGGCAGCCCCCUGGGUCAAGAUUGACGCUCAUGCACGAAAGCGUGGGGAGCAAACAGGAUUAGAAACCCGAGUAGUCCCAUGAU